Molecule: ribosomal RNA, 450 nt
Filed under: uncultured bacterium
Lineage: Bacteria
Description: bacterial SSU rRNA
Rfam family: Bacterial small subunit ribosomal RNA
Source: RNAcentral
AUUGAACGCUGGCGGCGUGCCUAACACAUGCAAGUCGAGCGGUAACAGGUGUAGCAAUACAUGCUGACGAGCGGCGAACGGGUGAGUAAUGCUUCGGAAUCUACCCAAUGGUGGGGAAUAACCAGCCGAAAGGUUGGCUAAUACCGCAUACGUCCCACGGGAGAAAGCAGGGGAUCGCAAGACCUUGCGCCAAUGGAUGAGCCGAAGUCGGAUUAGCUAGUUGGAGGGUAACGGCCUACCAAGGCGACGAUCCGUAGCUGGUCUGAGAGGACGACCAGCCACACUGGGACUGAGACACGGCCCAGACUCCUACGGGAGGCAGCAGUGGGGAAUAUUGGACAAUGGGGGAAACCCUGAUCCAGCGACGCCGCGUGUGUGAAGAAGGCCUGCGGGUUGUAAAGCACUUUUAGUGGGGNUGAAAUGUUCAGGGUUUAACACCUCUGGAUUUUG